RNAcentral lists this ribosomal RNA (430 nucleotides) under uncultured bacterium. RNAcentral describes it as "bacterial SSU rRNA". It matches the Rfam family "Bacterial small subunit ribosomal RNA", at positions 917 to 1345 of the family's 1533-position model. The record is from RNAcentral.
GGACCCGCACAAGUAGUGGAGCAUGUGGUUUAAUUCGAAGAUACGCGCAGAACCUUACCAACACUUGACAUGUUCGUCGCGACUCUAAGAGAUUAGAGUUUUCGGUUCGGCCGGACGAAACACAGGUGCUGCAUGGCUGUCGUCAGCUCGUGUCGUGAGAUGUUGGGUUAAGUCCCGCAACGAGCGCAACCCUCACUUUUAGUUGCCAUCAUUUAGUUGGGCACUCUGAAAGAACUGCCAGUGAUAAGCUGGAGGAAGGUGGGGAUGACGUCAAGUCCUCAUGGCCCUUACGUGUUGGGCUACACACGUGCUACAAUGGUAUUUACAACAGGAAGCAAGAUGGCGACAUUAAGCAAAUCCUAAAAAGAUACCUCAGUUCGGAUUGCACUCUGCAACUCGAGUGCAUGAAGUUGGAAUUACUAGUAAUCGU